UACGGAGGGGGCUAGCGUUGUUCGGAAUUACUGGGCGUAAAGCGCACGUAGGCGGAUUGGAAAGUUGGGGGUGAAAUCCCAGGGCUCAACCCUGGAACUGCCUUCAAAACUCCCAGUCUAGAGUUCUGGAGAGGUGAGUGGAAUUCCGAGUGUAGAGGUGAAAUUCGUAGAUAUUCGGAGGAACACCAGUGGCGAAGGCGGCUCACUGGCCAGAUACUGACGCUGAGGUGCGAAAGCGUGGGGAGCAAACAGG
RNAcentral lists this ribosomal RNA (253 nucleotides) under uncultured bacterium. Its description in RNAcentral is "partial 16S ribosomal RNA". It matches the Rfam family "Bacterial small subunit ribosomal RNA", at positions 524 to 776 of the family's 1533-position model. The record is from RNAcentral.